This 487-nucleotide ribosomal RNA is filed under the name uncultured bacterium. RNAcentral describes it as "bacterial SSU rRNA". It matches the Rfam family "Bacterial small subunit ribosomal RNA", at positions 15 to 518 of the family's 1533-position model. The record is from RNAcentral.
GAUCCUGGCUUAGGACGAACGCUGGCGGCGUGCCUAACACAUGCAAGUCGAGCGAGGAGAUUCCUUCGGGAUGAUCCUAGCGGCGGACGGGUGAGUAACACGUGGGCAACCUGCCUCAUAGAGAGGAAUAGCCUUCCGAAAGGGAGAUUAAUACCUCAUAACAUUGCAGUUUCGCAUGGAACAGCAAUUAAAGGAGUAAUCCGCUAUGAGAUGGGCCCGCGGCGCAUUAGCUAGUUGGUGAGGUAACGGCUCACCAAGGCGACGAUGCGUAGCCGACCUGAGAGGGUGAUCGGCCACAUUGGGACUGAGACACGGCCCAGACUCCUACGGGAGGCAGCAGUGGGGAAUACUGCACAAUGGGGGAAACCCUGAUGCCAGCAACGCCGCGUGAGUGAUGACGGCCUUCGGGUUGUAAAGCUCUGUCUUCAGGGACGAUAAUGACGGUACCUGAGGAGGAAGCCACGGCUAACUACGUGCCAGCCGCCGC